This is a long non-coding RNA of Amphiprion ocellaris (clown anemonefish), 283 nucleotides long. The record is from Ensembl. NCBI's taxonomy places the organism in Eukaryota, Metazoa, Chordata, Actinopteri, Pomacentridae.
AAAACAAGAACAACACAGGGCACCAAUCUCAGACUGAUUAUUUAACCUUAGUUUUACACCUUUGUCUCACCAGCGACAUCAAAGUUGACAUUCAUCCAUCCAUCCAUCCAUCAUCUAUACACUGCUUUGUCCUCAUCAGGGUCAUGGGGGGCUGGAGUCUAUCCCAACUGACUGAGGGUGAAGGCAGGGGACACCUGGACAGAUAGCGGCACAGCGUCACUGUAACUAUGACAACAAGUGAACACUACGUCAGCUGCCUGCUGAUGAUCACAUGAUUUUGAUC